AUCCAGAUGACGAGUCACAAACAGGACGAAAUCCGCAUCCUGGAU
Molecule: non-coding RNA, 45 nt
Organism: Trichobilharzia regenti
Lineage: Eukaryota; Metazoa; Platyhelminthes; Trematoda; Strigeidida; Schistosomatidae
Source: Rfam